Long non-coding RNA from Lycium ferocissimum, 473 nucleotides. RefSeq lists it as uncharacterized. The transcript is spliced from 3 exons. The record is from RefSeq and is a predicted model, not a curated record. NCBI's taxonomy places the organism in Eukaryota, Viridiplantae, Streptophyta, Magnoliopsida, Solanales, Solanaceae.
UACAUUGCACAGCAUGAUAUUAUAUAAUAACAAGCCCACUAUCCCUUGUUUUGUGCAUCCCAUGUUUUGUGCAUUUAGUCAUCAUAAUCUGGUGUUGUGCACGUUUUAUUCCAAAAGAAGGAGGAAAAGAGUAGAAGGAAAAAUCUUGUUCUGUGCAAGAUAUAUUACGAAACAAAGAGGAAAAAAAAAAUAUAGAAGGAAAAAUUAUUCACGUAUUUCUAACCUAGAGGGGAGAAAAAGGACGAACAGAAGGGGCUUUGCCAAUUAAUGUUGAAGGAGCAGUGAAGCUUUAUUUUAUUUCCACCAAAUACAAAGGCAAUCAGAUUUUGAUCGUUCAGAGGCUCUACGCAAAGGGAAGACAUUAGUUUGAUUGUUCGUGGCACCCGCUCGGCAUUGAGAUUUUGAUCGUUCAGAGGCUCUACGCAAAGGGAAGACAUUAGUUUGAUUGUUCGUGGCACCCGCUCGGCAUUGAG